Molecule: ribosomal RNA, 1050 nt
Filed under: uncultured Luteimonas sp.
Lineage: Bacteria; Pseudomonadati; Pseudomonadota; Gammaproteobacteria; Lysobacterales; Lysobacteraceae
Description: bacterial SSU rRNA
Rfam family: Bacterial small subunit ribosomal RNA
Source: RNAcentral
GCUAAUACCGCAUACGUCCUACGGGAGAAAGUGGGGGAUCUUCGGACCUCACGCUAUCAGAUGAGCCCAGGUCGGAUUAGCUAGUUGGUGAGGUAAUGGCUCACCAAGGCGACGAUCCGUAACUGGUCUGAGAGGAUGAUCAGUCACACUGGAACUGAGACACGGUCCAGACUCCUACGGGAGGCAGCAGUGGGGAAUAUUGGACAAUGGGCGAAAGCCUGAUCCAGCCAUGCCGCGUGUGUGAAGAAGGUCUUCGGAUUGUAAAGCACUUUAAGUUGGGAGGAAGGGCAUUAACCUAAUACGUUAGUGUUUUGACGUUACCAACAGAAUAAGCACCGGCUAACUUCGUGCCAGCAGCCGCGGUAAUACGAAGGGUGCAAGCGUUAAUCGGAAUUACUGGGCGUAAAGCGCGCGUAGUGGUUUGUUAAGUCCGAUGUGAAAUCCCUGAGCUCAACCUGGAAAUGGCCUUGGAUACUGGCAGGCUAGAGUGCGGUAGAGGGGUGUGGAAUUCCCGGUGUAGCAGUGAAAUGCUUAGAUAUCAGGAGGAACAUCUGUGGCGAAGGCGACACCCUGCACCAACACUGACACUGAGGCACGAAAGCGUGGGGAUCAAACAGGAUUAGAUACCCUGGUAGUCCACGCCCUAAACGAUGCUAACUGGAUGUUGGGUGCAACUUGGCACUGUCUAACCAAACUAACUCGUUAAGUUCGCCGCCAGGGAAGUACGGUCGGUUGACUGAAACUCAAAGGAAUUGACGUCCGCCCGCACAAUGGAUGAUGUAUGUGGUUUAAUUGAUUGCAACGGAACCUUACUUGCCUGACCUUGACAUGCGACCAAGUUUGCAAACACGGAUUGGUGCCUUCGGGAACCGUGACACAGGUGCUGCAUGGUCUGUCGUCUCGCUCGUGUCGUGUGUUGGGUGGGUUAAGUCCACCCAACGAGCGCCCUAUCUGUCCUUACUUGCCAGCACGUCUGGGUGCUAACUCUAAAGAGACCGCGUGUGACACAACGAAGGAAGGUAUGAAUGACAGUCAGUCAUCCCUGCACUC